UCCGGAGGGGGCAAUCGUUAUCCGGAUUUACUGGGUUUAAAGGGUGCGUAGGCGGGCAUGUAAGUCAGUGGUGAAAUACCGGAGCUUAACUUCGGAACUGCCAUUGAUACUAUAUGUCUUGAAUAUUGUGGAGGUAAGCGGAAUAUGUCAUGUAGCGGUGAAAUGCAUAGAUAUGACAUAGAACACCGAUUGCGGAGGCAGCUUGCUACGCAAAUAUUGACGCUGAGGCACGAAAGCGUGGGGAGCAAACAGG
This 253-nucleotide ribosomal RNA is filed under the name uncultured bacterium. Its description in RNAcentral is "partial 16S ribosomal RNA". It matches the Rfam family "Bacterial small subunit ribosomal RNA", at positions 524 to 776 of the family's 1533-position model. The record is from RNAcentral.